UCCACGUAGCAUCAGACUCUCUCGCGACAUCCGCCGAACGCAAUUAGCGGAAAGCGGCGCAAGUAACGAAGCCAAGCGAAGCGGCAUCGCUCAAACCCCCGCGAGAACGUUAACGCGGUUCUCCAUUCCGCGGCCGCCACCUCCCUGCCCAUGACCUCGCCGCUCCUCCGCCACCACCACCGCCGCCGCCUCCUUUCCACCUGUACGCGAGCCCUUAAAUGCGUCUCCCGUUCCAUCUCCUGGAAUCCGACGGGACGGCCGCAGCAAACCCUAGCCUCGUCUGUGUCCAGAUCGGGGACGGCGCUGCACUCGGGCGACUUCACCACUGCUCGCCUCCUGCCGGCCGCCGCGGGGGAGGGGAGGUUCUUCGUCGCGGGGCACUCCCGGCCGCGCACGAGGAUCCCCGCCGCGAUCGGCCAUGUCGUCGACUCCGCCCUCUGCACCACCCUCUCCCGCGACGGUACCAGGGUACGGACCGUUGAGCACCUCCUGUCCGCUCUGGAGGCAUGCGGGGUGGAUAAUUGCCGCAUCGAGAUCGAUGGUGGGGAUGAGGUUCCUUUGUUAGAUGGAUCAGCGAAGGAAUGGGUGGAGGCUAUAAAACAAGUUGGGUUAUGUGUUGCAGAGGAUCAACAUGGCUAUACUUUAGAUAAACUAGUACCAGAACUCCAUGAACCACUGUAUUUAUGGCAUGGUAGUUCUUUCUUGAUUGCCUUCCCUUCUCAGAAAAUUUGCAUCACUUAUGGAAUAGACUUUCCCAAGGUACCAUCCAUUGGCUGUCAGUGGUUUUCUUCUUUCAUGGAUGAAUCUACAUACACAAAAGAAAUAGCUUCCUCAAGAACAUUUUGUGUUUAUGAAGAGGUCGAGGGAAUGUGCCGAGCUGGGCUCUGUAAAGGUGGAUCAGCUGAUAAUGCUAUUGUUUGCAGCAUCACUGGUGGCUGGCUAAAUCCACCAUUACGUUUCUUUGAUGAACCUUGUCGCCAUAAGGUUCUAGAUCUUGUGGGCGACUUUUCUCUUUUUGCUCAAAAUGGAAAUCAAGGACUUCCCAUCGCACACAUAAUUGCUUACAAGGAGGCAGCUUUGAGAUGGUAGCUGCGUAAGGGACCUGGAAAAAUGAUGGGCUGCACUAGCAAGGGCCCGUGGUCAGACUGCUCUACUGUGGCCAAUCGCCCACACAAGGCAAAAGCUGUCUUUGUGAGACUUCCUGGCUGGCCAUGCACUACACACCGACUUCGUUCGUCUGCUGUCACGAUCAUCAACGGAACUAAGAGAAAGGCUACUAAGAUGAAGGAUACAACAUCCUUCUGAGCAGUCGCCAUUUGGGAACUUCGGAUAGUAGCAAGGAUGCCAUCUGAUCACUUGCAGCCAGUCAAUAUUUAUACUUGACAAUGACUUUUAGAUGAAAACAGGCUCAUGAAGUCGGCUGAAGUGGCUUGGAGGUGCAACUUUUCUUAUCGGAACUUUAGAGAGCUUGAGGGGUUGUUUCAAGACAACAAUCCUCAAAGAAACUAUGAUUUGAAACAAUCCUCAAAGAAGUGUCUAAGGAGAAACAACUAAAAGUCGACUAAAUUUGAAUUGUUGUAAUUUACUGUAUGUUUAAUUAAUUUCAAAUCUGAUAUCAAGUGCUUCAAUGUAA
RNA transcript from Musa acuminata AAA Group (dessert banana), 1633 nucleotides. It is a transcript of the gene named probable UDP-3-O-acyl-N-acetylglucosamine deacetylase 1, mitochondrial, with no coding region annotated. The record is from RefSeq and is a predicted model, not a curated record. NCBI's taxonomy places the organism in Eukaryota, Viridiplantae, Streptophyta, Magnoliopsida, Zingiberales, Musaceae. The transcript is spliced from 8 exons.